UUCAGACGAUGCGUCAUGCAUAUCAAUAAGCGGAGGAAAAGAAACUAACAAGGAUUCCCUAGUAACGGCGAGUGAAGCGGGAAGAGCUCAAAUUUGAAAUCUUCAAGGUUUUACCUUGACGAAUUGUAGUUUAAAGAAGUGUUUUCCGUUAGAGAGUUGGUGAAAAGUUCUUUGGAAUAGGCCAUCAUAGAGGGUGAGAAUCCCGUAUUUGACCAUUCUUUCUAACUGUGUGAUACACUUUCAAAGAGUCGGAUUGUUUGGGAAUGCAGUCCAAAAUGGGUGGUAAAUUUCAUCUAAAGCUAAAUAUUGGCGAGAGACCGAUAGCGAACAAGUACCGUGAGGAAAGAUGAAAAGAACUUUGAAAAGAGAGUUAAACAGUACGUGAAAUUGUCAAAAGGGAAGCGUUUGACACCAGUGUUGUUUUUCCGAAAAUCAAUUAAAAAUGGAUUCAUGCCAAGUUGUAUUGACCUUAUCAGCUUGCAAUUUGGUUUUGGGUUCCUUUUUGAUGCACUUUUCGGUUAACAAGUCAACAUCAAUUUCCUUUGCUGUAAAAGGGCAGAAGGAAGGUGGCUUCAAUUUCGGUUGAAGUGUUUAUAGCCUUUUACUUCUGCAAUCGGAGAGAUUGAGGUCUGCAGCGUAGAUCCUUCGGGGUUAGAUACAUUUGUGCUAAGCUAUAGCCUUGUAUAGACAACUUGUUGACUAUGCUCGGUCUUGUAAUUUACUCGCGAGUGCUAUUUUACCUACGCUUAGGAUGUUGAUAUGCAUGACUGAUAU
RNAcentral lists this ribosomal RNA (774 nucleotides) under uncultured Neocallimastigales. RNAcentral describes it as "partial large subunit ribosomal RNA". It matches the Rfam family "Eukaryotic large subunit ribosomal RNA", at positions 18 to 643 of the family's 3401-position model. Lineage: Eukaryota; Fungi; Neocallimastigomycota; Neocallimastigomycetes; Neocallimastigales. The record is from RNAcentral.